GUGAAUCAUCGAAUUUUUGAACGCAAAUUGCACUCUCUUCUGAGAGGAUGCCUGUUUGAGGGUCAGGCUAAAAAAAAUUGACGUAGUGGCUGGUUCGUGGUGACAUUCGUCGGAAAUUGGGUCAGCUUAGACCUUUGGUUGGUAAGGGGCUUAAAAUUUUCUUUACGAUUCUACGAACGUUUUUAAGAUGUUACUUCUUACACUCGUUUAAGGGAUCGAUCGUUAUUAGACGUGGCCUUUUCAUCGGAUCUCGUC
Molecule: unclassified non-coding RNA, 255 nt
Filed under: Glomus sp.
Lineage: Eukaryota; Fungi; Glomeromycota; Glomeromycetes; Glomerales; Glomeraceae
Description: partial contains 5.8S ribosomal RNA and internal transcribed spacer 2
Rfam family: 5.8S ribosomal RNA (bases 1-65)
Source: RNAcentral